Molecule: long non-coding RNA, 6000 nt
Filed under: Ananas comosus (pineapple)
Lineage: Eukaryota; Viridiplantae; Streptophyta; Magnoliopsida; Poales; Bromeliaceae
Description: long non-coding RNA (ACOM_LNC013471)
Source: RNAcentral
UAGGGUUAAGGUUUUAUGGUUUGGAAUUGGUUCAAAUGGAACCUAUUGGAGCUCAAGAGAUGGUUCUAGCUCACAUUGAAGCUUUGAACCAUGGAUUGCACCAUUGAUGCAAACCUAGGGUUAGAGUUUGGGUUUUGAACCCUAGAUCUUAGUUUUGAUCUCCCUACAAGCUUUAGAGCUUCAUAGUAGCCGAAGAACACAUGAAAUCCAUGGUUUCUUCGUAGUGCUCUAAUGGUGGAUUUCUAGGGGUUGUUCCAAAUGCCCUAGAAAUGGUUCAAAUGGUUUGGAAAUGGGAUUAGAGAGCUUCUUGGGUGGUUCUAAGCUUAAUUAUGCUUAGCUAUGAGAUCAAUCCCAAGAAAUUUGAUUAUGGCAUUGUUAGGGCACCGAAAUUGGGGCUUUUGCCUCCGGGUGUUUCUAAGGCAAAUUGGCCUUAUAGAAACCUAAUUGGGGACCUAACGAACGCGUUGAAACGCUCGGUUCGGCAAUCCGACGAGCGUACGCGAGGUUAUUGACGAAACGGUCGGUUUUGGUACAGAUAGCCGCAGCACGCGGAAUAAAGGUUUAAAAAUUAUGAGAUCGGAACUGGAGCACCUUGGAGUCAAGGAAUAAACUCCGGAAAAGACGGAUCACGGUUUGGAGGUCGUUUGGAAGUCACGCAAGAGUUCGGGCCAAACCGGGCAACGGUUGCCGCCGGAGGCCGAUUGCAAGUGACUACGAGCAAUCGGAGCGCGAGUUAAGGUGGGUUGGUUUACCGAAGCGACUAGGUCGCCUUUAUGUCUAAGAAAUUAAGAAUCCAUGUUGAUGCAUAUAAAUGUAAAUGGCAAGGAGAUCGCUCAGUUAGGCAAUACGAGCGGGAGUUUUCCCGUAUCGUGCAUUGUGUCCCAAACUUGGUACGAGAUGACAAGGACAAGGCUGACUGCUUUGUGCGUGGACUGCGGCCAGGCCUUUACAAGGCUGUGCUUGUACACAGGUUGCAGACUUUUGCUGAAGUCCUGGAUCGGGCCUUGUGGAUAGAACAAGGCGAGGCAUAUCUGCGAGAGGAGCGCGAGGCAUGUUACAAGGAAAAGGGGAAAGGACGACCAACAGGUGGAUCCAGUGGUCAGUCAAGUUCCCAACGGACUUCGACGAGUUCGCACUCGCGAUCCCGAGCUCCGGGGACAUACCGUAUUCGGUCCUCGGCGAAAUGUGCUAUCUGUGGAGGCCCUCAUUUUCCACAGUAGUGUGAGCAGCGAGAGGGCAAGUGCUUCAAGUGUGGGCUGCCGGGUCAUAUGCGAGACGAGUGUCCGCGUGGUGACGGACGGACCUUGGCACUGGCGACGGCGUAUUCCUCUCUGGGACAGCCUGCAGGUGUGCCCCCUGCGGCAUGGCCGGGAGAGCAGCCGUUGAGGACGAUGCAACCAGAGGGUUCGCGACGAGCGCCAGGUGGGCACGGAUAAGCUACCCGAAUCACGGAGCCUGCCGCUGCUGACGUCAUCAUGGCAGGUAUGAGUUAAUUGAGAAAGCAUGUGCUUUUACUAAUCUCAAGUUGGUGCAUAGCAUGCAUUUAUUGUUGGUCGGUUGCUACUAAUUAUAUUUAUUGCAUAGUAGGGACCGAAUAGUCAGGUAAGUAGACGCCCGUACAUGCUUGCAUUGUGAGAGGUGGCGCCUGCUGAUGCAGGUAGGAAGCCAAGUGGUGCUAGCUAAUGGCUAGUGAUGAUUCUCCGGUAAGGAAUGAGAUCCGUGGAGAACAUGGUCUAGUAAGUGACUCUCGAAAUAAUGGAUUGGAAAAAAAAAAAAAAUUGUGGAAGUUGAGCCUUAGUGUUGAGGAUACCCGAAAGAUUCGGGAGUUGAGAAUGUGUUCCGAUAGAUCGGACAGUGAAAGUAGAAUCACCGUGGUGAGAGUAGCCGUGUAGUUGACGGACGCGGGCCCGUUGGCCUAGUAAUACCUCGAAGUUGAGGUGGACAAGCUGUGCUCUUGUAGUGGACGUGCAUAGGCAAGCUGCCCGAUGCUGGAUUUCAUGUUAGACGCGGUAGAGGCGUAGAGCGCUCGAGUAUAAUUACUCGUGAGGUGCGGUUUCAAUUCAGCCAGUUGAGUGAGUUGGCAGUAGCACUUUAGCAGGGCUAAGUGUGAAGCGGGCCAUGGAUCACUCGUGGGGCUGGUGGCUCGCACAAGGUGCUUAAGAGCCGAUAGAGGUACUUGUAGCUCUGGUAGAGCAUGUCGUGUAAGACGACGUUGGCGGGUAGUGCUUGGGGACGACCCAUGCCUGGACCACUUGUGGACUGUGGAGCCUGGACCCAUUUGGCAGGCGCAGUCAGCUGUGAGAGACAGCGGCCCGGUACCUAUUGGUAGGGCGAGAGUUUUGGUCAGGACGGUAGUCCGAGCUUAGACCCGAGUACGUGGAAUGUCACGUGUUAGAGUGCGAGAUUGAUGAUGCACCGAGUGUGUAGUGACCCAACCCAAGGAUUUGAUGUGGAUUGGGGUCUUGAUAGCUCCUGGUUGGAGUGUGUGCGAGUUCUCCAAUGAGAAUGUCGCCCAAUGAUGAUUGGGUCUACGCUUGCGAGCGAGAGACGCUAGGCGUCGUUGAGACGAGUUUAGUUGGUAGGCCUACGUAGGGUGGGUGACUGUUGGUCCACCCGUAGAGACUGAUGGUCGGUGCGACCAAUGACUCCGUGAAUGAGCUUAGGCUCGAGUUGCGAACGAAGGGUUCGUGCAAAUCCACAGCUGGAGUAGAGUGGCGUUGAUCGUGGCUUAUGAUAUUAAAGGAUAAAGAGAAGCCGAAGUGCUCUUAUAAGGCCUUGAGCUAAUGAAAGCCACGUGAGAAUUGGAGUUGAAGUUAGUGGAUAAUCCUCUCAAAAGAGUUGAGGUUGAGACGCGCCGAAGUGUGCCGUCUCGUGAUAGGGCAAGGAUUCGAUUGAGAUUGAAGCACUCGCGAUGGGCCGAUGCACCAAUGAUUUUGUCGCUAUGCAAUGCCGGUGGUCGGAAUCGGAGUGGAAAGGUGCGUUGGUUCCCUCGAUAACUCGAUAGAUCGAGUGGAGAUGUGGUUUGAAUUUCGCGGACGAAAUUCUUUUAAGGUGGGGAGAAUGUAACCCCCAAGAUCUCGGUGAAUAUUGUGGACUUUAGCCAAAUUGACUAAAGUACUCGAAGGGAUUGGUUGGACGCGAUCCAUUAACGUUCCAACACUGUUGGAAGGGUUAAAAAUAAGCUUUAAAUGAGUUGGAAGGAUUUUGGCAUCGAACGACGCGAAAUAGGGCGGAAUCGAAGUCAAAAAUGACUUUUUGGAUGUCUUGUACCGGUACAAGACCAAUGGUUGUGCCGGUACAACCAGCGUAGUACAAUGGCUUGGAGCUGCCAGGCCUUGUACCGGUACAAGAGGCCUUGUACCGGUACAAGCCCUGCGUAACCGAGAGACCAGCCCUCGGGUUGGGCUAUCUGCCAGGCCUUGUACCGGUACAAGAAACCGUGUACCGGUACAAGGAGCCCGAACAGCAGGAAAUUGACCUAUUGCGAAUAUGAUUGGUUGGGGGGUUUAUUUGCAAUUGUUGCAAUAUAACAAAUACCCCAAACAUCUCUCUCUCUCUCCCAGCUGCUCUUUCUCCCUCUCUCAACCGUGCAUAGCAAAGAGAGAGAAAAGAAGAGAAGGAGAAGGAAAAGAGAAGAAGAGAAGGAAAAAAGGGGAAGAAAAAGGAGAAGGAGAAAGAGAAGGAGACCAUGAAGGAGAUCUUCUUCCCCCUAUUCAUCUUCUUCCUCACCUUGGAGCAAGCAUAGAGAGGUAAGCCUCAAACCCUACCAUGGUGGAUUUCUAGGGUUAAGGUUUUAUGGUUUGGAAUUGGUUCAAAUGGAACCUAUUGGAGCUCAAGAGAUGGUUCUAGCUCACAUUGAAGCUUUGAACCAUGGAUUGCACCAUUGAUGCAAACCUAGGGUUAGAGUUUGGGUUUUGAACCCUAGAUCUUAGUUUUGAUCUCCCUACAAGCUUUAGAGCUUCAUAGUAGCCGAAGAACACAUGAAAUCCAUGGUUUCUUCGUAGUGCUCUAAUGGUGGAUUUCUAGGGGUUGUUCCAAAUGCCAUAGAAAUGGUUCAAAUAGUUUGGAAAUGGGAUUAGAGAGCUCUUGGGUGGUUCUAAGCUUAAUUAUGCUUAGCUAUGAGAUCAAUCCCAAGAAAUUUGAUUAUGGCAUUGUUAGGGCACCGAAAUUGGGGCUUUUGCCUCCGGGUGUUUCUAAGGCAAAUUGGCCUUGUAGAAACCUAAUUGGGGACCUAACGAACGCGUUGAAACGCUCGGUUCGGCAAUCCGACGAGCGUACGCGAGGUUAUUGACGAAACGGUCGGUUUUGGUACAGAUAGCCGCAGCACGCGGAAUAAAGGUCUAAAAAUCAUGAGAUCGGAACUGGAGCACCUUGGAGUCAAGGAAUAAACUCCGGAAAAGACGGAUCGCGGUUCGGAGGUCGUUUGCUAAGUCGCGCAAGAGUUCGGGCCAAACCGGGCAACGGUUGCCGCGGGAGGCCGAUUGCAAGUGACUACAAGCAAUCGGAGCGCGUGUUAAGGUGGGUUGGUUUACCGAAGCGACUAGGUCGCCUUUAUGUCUAAUUAUUAGACUUUCAUGUUGAUGCAUGUUGAUGAUCGGCAUAGUUGAUGCUAAGUAGAAAUGCAUAAUAUGAUGUAGAUGCUAAAGUUGAUGCAUAUAAAUGUAAAUGAUGCAUGUAGCUAAAUAAUGCAUGAUGAUAGUGUGAUGUAAUUGCUAAAUAGAAUGCAUUAUGAGCAUGUUGAAUAAAGCUAGAUAAUUAUGUGAAUGCAUGUAAGCAUAAUGCAUAGAAUGAAAUGCAUAUUGAUGAUAUAAGUUAAAAUGAGAUAUAGAAUGCAUGUUGACAUUGUGAGAUAAAUGUGCAUGAAACUAGGUUGAUAACCCUAGAAUGAUUAAAGUGAAUGAUGCUAUGCUAAAGUAUAAGUGAUAAGCAUGAUAUAAGAAUAGUAAAUGCAAGUGCAUGUUAAGAAUGCUAAGUAAGGAACAUAUAUAGGUGGACAUGAAUAAACCUAUAGAUCGAGUGGCAUUAAACCUAGUGUCGAGGACAUAGGUUAAAUAAAUGAGAUGUUGAACCUAAUGUAAAGAACAUAGGUUAAAUAAGAGGGAUGUUGAACCUAAUGUAAAGGACAUAGGUUGUGAAAUGAAAGCUGCUUAACCUAGAGUCAAGUAAACCUAGGUUGGAAAAGAAUGAUGAUCCUAGUGUAAUAAACCUAGGUUAAGAAUGUGAAAGCAAUAAACCUAAAGUAAUAACUUAGGUUGUGUAAAGGACAAUGAACCUAGAGUCGAUUGGACCUAGGAGAUAAAUGCUUAGACCUAGAGAGGUCAGUUCCAUAGGGUUAAGACCAACCCUUGGUUGAUGUGAUAUGGAUUCCGGAAUCCCGCUGCUUGCUGCUACACCCAAAGUGGUGUCGGGUGUGUGCGACGAUUUCGCCGCCCAGGGGCUAGAGAACCAUUGUCGUGGCGUGUGUGCGACGAUUUCGCCGCCGGAUGGUUAGCCAGUUUGUGGAUCCUACCGCCUGUUGACUGAACCACUGUCGUGGCGUGUGUGCGACGAUUUCGCCGCCGGGUGACUAAGUCAUUGAACCUAGGCCGUUGUUGGGUGAGGUGCGAUUCGUUCGCCGCCAGACGGCUAGGACAGGAGUACGGUGAGCUGUUGCCAGCUGAGGUGCAUGUGAGAGUUCCUUCACCUCGAGCUAGACAGUGCGCGGACUAUCCGCGAUUGAUUGACUCAAGACCGAGUCGGGUGGCUUUGUUGACUAAGGUAAAGUGACCUUAGAGUAGAAUGCCAAAGGCUAAGAUAUAGCAUGGUUCAAGAAUGUUAAGAGUAAAGAAUAGCUAAAGAACAAAGAGUGGCUAAAGAAUAAUGAAUAGCUAAAGAAAGGAAUAGCUAAGAGCUAAAAGUAAGCAUCAAAUGGCAAAGAGUAAAGAAUGAUUAAGAACAUAAGUAGUGUUAAAGUAACCUACUUGCAUGAUUCCAGAUAUUGCAUAUUGCAUUUCGUGAGGC